Molecule: ribosomal RNA, 379 nt
Filed under: uncultured fungus
Lineage: Eukaryota; Fungi
Description: eukaryotic LSU rRNA
Rfam family: Eukaryotic large subunit ribosomal RNA
Source: RNAcentral
UUGAUCUCAAAUCAGGUAGGACUACCCGCUGAACUUAAGCAUAUCAAUAAGCGGAGGAAAAGAAACUAACAAGGAUUCCCCUAGUAACUGCGAGUGAAGCGGGAAGAGCUCAAAUUUAAAAUCUGGCGUGCCUCUGGUCGUCCGAGUUGUAGUCUGGAGAAGCGUUUUCCGUGUUGGACCGUGUACAAGUCUCUUGGAACAGGGCGUCAUAGAGGGUGAGAAUCCCGUCUUUGACACGGACUACCAAUGCUUUGUGAUGCGCUCUCAAAGAGUCGAGUUGUUUGGGAAUGCAGCUCAAAAUGGGUGGUAAAUUCCAUCUAAAGCUAAAUAUAGGCGAGAGACCGAUAGCGAACAAGUACCGUGAGGGAAAGAUGAAAAG